RNAcentral lists this ribosomal RNA (490 nucleotides) under uncultured bacterium. RNAcentral's name for it is "partial 16S ribosomal RNA". It matches the Rfam family "Bacterial small subunit ribosomal RNA", at positions 30 to 507 of the family's 1533-position model. The record is from RNAcentral.
AUUGAACGCUGGCGGCAUGCCUAACACAUGCAAGUCGAACGGAAGCAUGAUCUACCUUGCUCGAUUGCUGGAGCGUCGCGCACGGGAGUGUCAUAUAUAGAACCGAGCUAUGUGGUGGGGGUUACUUCGUCGAAAGAUUAGCAAAUACGGCAAACGUACUGAGGGUGAUGGUGGGGGAGCGAAAGGCCUCAUUCCUUACGCUUGGACAUUGUCGGAUUAGCUAGUUGGUGAGGUAAAGGCUAACCAAGGCGACGAUCAGUAGCUGGUCUGAGAGGUCGAUCAGCCACACUGGGACUGAGACACGGCCCAGACUCCUACGGGAGGCAGCAGUAGGGAAUUUUGGGCAAUGGGCGAAAGCCUGAUCCAGCAAUGCCGCGUGUGUGAAGAAGGCCUUCGGGUCGUAAAGCACUGUUGUCCGGAAAGAAAAAGCGCUUAUGAAUACCUGGAGGCGAUGACGGUACCUGAAGAAUAAGCACCGGCUAACUACGUG